GCACCUCAUAAAACGGGUGCCGGGCGUGGAAACCCGAAAUCAUUCACGGCGCAUAACCGCGCUCAGGCGGUUUUUUU
Molecule: small RNA, 77 nt
Filed under: Escherichia coli
Lineage: Bacteria; Pseudomonadati; Pseudomonadota; Gammaproteobacteria; Enterobacterales; Enterobacteriaceae
Also listed under: 1 other name
Description: isrK Hfq binding RNA
Rfam family: isrK Hfq binding RNA
Source: RNAcentral